UUUAUGGCUAGGGACCUAAGAGUAAAUAUUAGAAGUUUGAUAUAAUUUAUGAAAGAUUCAGAUUUAAGUUAAAAAAAAAAAAUAUAUAUAUAUAUAUAUAUAUAUAGUGGACAUGUGUCACUAACUAACAUAAGGUUGGUGCCACUUAUCCUUGCUCUAAAGAUGACACCUAGCCCCUUUCAUGCAUGCAUGACACCUUGCA
This 202-nucleotide long non-coding RNA is filed under the name Musa acuminata (dwarf banana). RNAcentral describes it as "long non-coding RNA (MACU_LNC008617)". Lineage: Eukaryota; Viridiplantae; Streptophyta; Magnoliopsida; Zingiberales; Musaceae. The record is from RNAcentral.